This 62-nucleotide transfer RNA is filed under the name Galathealinum brachiosum. RNAcentral describes it as "tRNA-Cys". Lineage: Eukaryota; Metazoa; Annelida; Polychaeta; Sabellida; Siboglinidae. The record is from RNAcentral.
AAUCUUAUAGUUAAAAUAUAACAUUAAAUUGCAACUUUAAAAUUAAUUUGUAUUUAAGAUUU